AGAGGUCAAGUCUGCUGGAGACUGCUCCUUCUAAUCAACCACAGGUGCUUCAGAAGGCUCACUUCAUGUCUGAGACAAAGAAUAUCCUCAGGGAGGGGGGGUCAGAGCGAGAGCACUUCUAUUGCUCCAGCAGCAAUGGAUGAGCCUCACAGAGAAAGUGGACUGCAUGUCUUCAGGAUCCUCGCACCACUGCACCAGAGAGCCCCCAAGACCCGAGCAACGGAGCAGGAUGUGCUGGGAGUCGAUGUGGCUCCAGCAGGUGUUGAUUGACAGCUGCCUCAUACUAGAGAACAUAAAAGUUCAAGAGCAGCCUCAUCAUCUCCUCUUCAAAAAGAAGAUCCAGAUCACAGACCAGAUGACUCGGCUGGGUGUCUAUCUGCACCUCUGACAUGAUGCAAGGCCUCAGCCUUGACUGGCCCGGUGGGUGCUCACGUCCCUGCAUGGCAGAGCAGCAGGCUGAGGCAUCUCUCUCCACCGCCAUCCCUCCACUUCCUUCUUCCUUCUUCCAAAGUGUGCUGGUCCUGCUCAUGCUGCCACCCCUGAGCUUCUUGAAGGCUGCCUUUUCUCUGUCCACGGCGUGACUUCCGAAACUCCUUUCGGACAGGAUGUAGGAAGUGUUUGGAGCAUUGCAGAGGAAAACAAAGGCAGUCUUCGGCAGGUUAAUGAGGCCAGGAGGCAGCUUUGUGCCAAGCUUCAUCAGUAUUCACCAGAGGUCUCCCUCUCUCGCUCUCCCAAUAAUAUCCCAGUCAUUUAGGUCUGGUUGAGCUGCACAGACGUACAGGAUAGCGGGUCUCUGCAGCAAACUGGAGGGGAGCACCAUCCUCCAUGGCCUGGACUUCUUCGAGAUCGAUCUGUUCUCCCUUAAAAAACAAGCUAAAUGCUGGGGAAGAUGGAACAUCUGGAAGGUUGGUGACUUUGCUACACUACAGACGGAGAGCAAGGAGAGCACAGCACAGGACACGUUAAAAAAUAACACCAGAGAGAACUAAAGGAACUGUACACAGAUCUGCGAUGAGCUACGGUGCUCCUUUGACCAAACCCGGCAGUGCAUUCAACCUGGUGAACAUCAUAUCACUGGGACUUGACAAGUUUGCUGACAGGAUCUGUGAGAUCUCUGGAGCUCUCCAUAGAACAGCUCCUGGCUAAGACGGUGUUCACCCUGCGCUCCCCGGCGGUGCUGCAGCUGUCUAAACAGGACCGCUUUGAUUUGGCCUGCAUGCCGUCACCUCCUCGCUCCACCACGCUGGAAAGAAAUUGUGCUCUUUUUCUCAGUGCUUCUAAUAAAGAGAUCCUGCUAAUGGCUAUGAAGGACAUGGACAUUGCUAAGCUGACCUGCCACUGCAGGUGGUGCAGUGUUCCCUGCUGAAACAUCAAUUAUGGACUAUCGCAAGAUCCUAGUAUCCCCUGAAUUCUGUGACAAUGAGUCUUGGACAGCUAUAUGGAGAAAACGACCUCUCCACCAGCGAGUGAACUGACUGAGUGCUUUCUUCCCUCAUGAGACCAGCCUGCACAGAUGAGGAACCAGAUUAGAAGUGGAUUGACGGAACUGUAGACACACUGAGGAUAUGACAACUCUGUCAUGGAUGACAACCAGGUUCCCACAUUCAUCAUCAGAGGGAAAUCUCAUGCCUGAACAGAUCACUUCUAAUAACAUCCAGGUCAUGGUGGAGAGCCACAAAGAGAAGAGAACCAAAGGUGUGCUAGUGCCAGCAGGCAGGAAACACCAGCUGAGCUGCCUGGAUGACCUUAACAUACCUGCACCUGACCACUUUGGCUCCCAGCCACCGCUGGACUACGGCUUCUGUUUCAACAACCAUGUGUGUGGGACUAAUUGCUCACAAGAACCAUGUAUGAUGAUUCCUUUUCAUAGGAGUCCCAGAUCAGGCAGAUCUACGGUACCAUGAUCAAACAAAAGCUACAUGGGAUUAAGGAGGACAAGAAGUCCAUUGGAGAUUCAGGCUACAUUAAAACUGUAUUAUGCUG
Perca flavescens (yellow perch) is the source of this 1983-nucleotide long non-coding RNA. RefSeq lists it as uncharacterized. The transcript has 16 exons. The record is from RefSeq and is a predicted model, not a curated record. Lineage: Eukaryota; Metazoa; Chordata; Actinopteri; Perciformes; Percidae.